Molecule: ribosomal RNA, 745 nt
Filed under: uncultured Gammaproteobacteria bacterium
Lineage: Bacteria; Pseudomonadati; Pseudomonadota; Gammaproteobacteria
Description: bacterial SSU rRNA
Rfam family: Bacterial small subunit ribosomal RNA
Source: RNAcentral
UGGUAAGUUGGAUGUGAAAUCCCCGGGCUCAACCUGGGAACUGCAUUCAAUACUGCCUCACUAGAGUAUGGUAGAGGGAAGCGGAAUUCCACAUGUAGCGGUGAAAUGCGUAGAUAUGUGGAGGAACAUCAAUGGCGAAGGCAGCUUCCUGGACCAAUACUGACGCUGAGGCGCGAAAGCGUGGGUAGCAAACAGGAUUAGAUACCCUGGUAGUCCACGCCCUAAACGAUGAGAACUAGAUGUUGGGAAGUAUAUCUUCUUAGUGUCGCAGCUAACGCGUGAAGUUCUCAGCCUGGGGAGUACGGCCGCAAGGUUGAAACUCAGAGGAAUUGACGGGGGCCCGCACAAACGGUGGAGCAUGUGGUUUAAUUCGAUGCGACGCGCAAAAGCUUGCGUGCCCGGGACGUGUCAGGAAUCCCGCAGAGAUGUGGGAGUGCCGCAAGGAACCUGAACACAGGUGCUGCAUGGCUGUCGUCAGCUCGUGUCGUGAGAUGUUGGGUUAAGUCCCGCAACGAGCGCAACCCUUGUCCUUAGUUGCCAUCAUUCAGUUGGGCACUCUAAGGAGACUGCCGGUGACAAAGCCGGAGGAAGGCGGGGAUGACGUCAAGUCAUCAUGGCCCUUAUGGGCAGGGCUACACACGUGCUACAAUGGCCGGUACAAAGGGUUGCCAACCCGCAAGGAGGAGCUAAUCCCGUAAAACCGGUCGUAGUCCGGAUUGGAGUCUGCAACUCGACUCCAUGAAGU